RNAcentral lists this long non-coding RNA (1223 nucleotides) under Gossypium barbadense (sea-island cotton). RNAcentral's name for it is "long non-coding RNA (GBAR_LNC000184)". Lineage: Eukaryota; Viridiplantae; Streptophyta; Magnoliopsida; Malvales; Malvaceae. The record is from RNAcentral.
AGGUUUCUCCUUUUCAUUUGCAGAGCUCUGCAAGAUGGCCUUGUAUUUCUCAAAAAAUGGUGGUUCAAUUGCCAUUGCCUCACUAUCUUCUCGAUCCUGCUCAGACAAAUAAAAAUGGAGUAAGUAGUUAAAACUCAAUCAAAAGAACUACUACUGUUUAUAUGAAUUGUAAAAUCAAAUGUUCAUAAAAAAACUUUUGAAAUUGCAGAAAAUGGUCCAAUGAUCACAUGGAUAUGCACAAUACCUACAAUGAAUUACUUAUAGUUCAAUGAUCUUAGAAACAAUUGAAGAAACUGAAUCUUUCCAAGUGUUAUUCUUGCUAUAAAUUUGUCAGUAGUCCUUGUGAAACCAUAUAAAUAUUAUAUAUAGUACAUAUCAAUAUGUCCUACAUCUUACUGCUUCUUAUAUGUUUUGAUAUGUCUGCAGUUACUGAGUUGUUUUCAUUUUCAUGACAAACAGUGAAAGACCCCUUUUGUCAACUAAUUUCCAAAUGACAAUUAGGGAACAUUUUAUUCAUUUUCCAAGCUACAAUAGUUAUCCUAGUAUGGUUAUAUGGAUUUACUCAUAAAAUUGGAGCUGAUCUUGCUUUUGCAAAGCCAUCCAGAGCAGUCAUUUUAACCUUUUACUGUCAUACAUAUACAUAUACAUAUACAUAUGAUUUAAAGAGAUUCCAUGUUCUGCAGAUAUCUUAGUAGUGAUACAUGUUGAGUUAUGAAUUAUCCUUUAAUUCCUCCAAUACAAUUCCCUGAAUGAGAUUAGAAUUUUUUUUUUCCUAACUUGGCCAUGAGAGACCUUAACAAAAUGUGUUGUGUUAGCUAUAGGUAUAGAAGGUGCAUAAAUAGUUAAAUAAAGUGAAGUUAUGUAUCAAAUUCUCCUCGUUAAAUUACCUGAUGGAUAUCAGCUUUGAAUUUGUGUGUAUUCACCUUAUCUCCCUUGGCAGAUUUCUGGCAAUGCAAGCUCAUAAGCAACUACAAGGAGAAGAAAAACCCCACAAACCAUUUCUGCAAUUCAGAUCAUUGGAGUUGAGGAAAUUAAUGAUUAAAGGUAAAGUAGCAGAUAAUUGGACACAUUCUAAGAAUAAGAAUAUUUCAGUUCUUAAAGCAAUAUUCCUUUGAUACUGGAUGACCAAUCUAGGUGACAUAUUGUGUAGUAAACUAUCAUAUUGUAGAUUCAUUGGCUAAUUAUUAAACUUUGGUGUGGUCAUAUUGUGUUAAGCUGUUUUU